RNAcentral lists this ribosomal RNA (257 nucleotides) under uncultured prokaryote. RNAcentral describes it as "partial 16S ribosomal RNA". It matches the Rfam family "Bacterial small subunit ribosomal RNA", at positions 917 to 1178 of the family's 1533-position model. The record is from RNAcentral.
GGGCCCGCACAAGCAGUGGAGUAUGUGGUUUAAUUCGAAGCAACGCGAAGAACCUUACCAGAUCUUGACAUCCAACUAAUCCUGUAGAAAUAUGGGAGUGCCCUUCGGGGAAAGUUGAGACAGGUGGUGCAUGGUUGUCGUCAGCUCGUGUCGUGAGAUGUUGGGUUAAGUCCCGCAACGAGCGCAACCCUUGUGAUUAGUUGCUACGCAAGAGCACUCUAAUCAGACUGCCGUUGACAAAACGGAGGAAGGUGGGG